RNAcentral lists this unclassified non-coding RNA (505 nucleotides) under Melitaea cinxia (Glanville fritillary). RNAcentral describes it as "misc RNA ENSMCXG00005015647.1". Lineage: Eukaryota; Metazoa; Arthropoda; Insecta; Lepidoptera; Nymphalidae. The record is from RNAcentral.
AUUUUAUGAGGACCUAGUGAUCGUCAUACAGCAAUUCUGCUGAUACUUCUAGUAUUGGAUUGGUUUCAUCCGAAUUUGAAUAAAAAUGAAUGUGCAGUUGCAUUUAAAAUUCAUUAAUUGAUAUCAAUAAAUUUGGUUUAAGGUUACUAAACCAUUUCUGAAGGAAAGGCGAAGAUUUUACGGAAGUUGGUUUUGCAAGACAUUCGUCAAUGCAAGGUACCUCACCAUUCAUUCGAACUUGAUGUUGCUGGUACAAGUCGCAGCUCAAUAUCAUGUCUCUGUUAAGUGGAUCCUUUAAGAAUCAACUUAUCCAAAAUUCGUCACGGUCAUCAAGUGGUUUAAUUUAUCCUCUCUGGCUUUGCAACAUGCCCACAAUAUUGAAAACUCAAAAUAACCUUUAACGAACAUGGUAAAUAUCCUAUUUUACAUUAAAAUAUUGGUGACUAUGAAAGUUUAAAAAAAAUCGAGAAAAAUAUUCUGGUGUUGAUACAGAUGCUAGAGUAGU